This 215-nucleotide long non-coding RNA is filed under the name Carica papaya (papaya). RNAcentral's name for it is "long non-coding RNA (CPAP_LNC004724)". Lineage: Eukaryota; Viridiplantae; Streptophyta; Magnoliopsida; Brassicales; Caricaceae. The record is from RNAcentral.
CAUAACACGUUUGAUAUGAGAGACCACGUUCCCCGUAGGGUUCCCUAUGGACCCGGUUCGUCCACCAUCUCCCAAGAUAUCUAGUUAGGCUAUCGACAUUAUCCAUUUAUCAAUUCACAUACUUUUUUUUUAUUUUUUUUAAUCACAAUUAUCCAAUCAAACAUAAACACGUACACUAGUAAUGGACACCAAACAAGGCAACACAACAUCGGGUU